AUACGAAUGGGGCAAGCGUUGUUCGGAAUCACUGGGCUUAAAGCGUGCGUAGGCGGACUUACAAGUCGGGAGUGAAAUCCCUGGGCUCAACCCAGGAACUGCUUCCGAAACUGUAAGUCUAGAAUCCGGUAGAGGUCAGGAGAAUUCCUAGUGUAGAGGUGAAAUUCGCAGAUAUUGGGAGGAACACCGGUGGCGAAGGCGGCUCUCUGGACCGGUACUGACGCUGAGGCGCGAAAGCCAGGGGAGCAAACAGGAUUAGAAACCCCGGUAGUCC
This 274-nucleotide ribosomal RNA is filed under the name uncultured bacterium. RNAcentral describes it as "partial 16S ribosomal RNA". It matches the Rfam family "Bacterial small subunit ribosomal RNA", at positions 523 to 796 of the family's 1533-position model. The record is from RNAcentral.